AGCGAACGCUAGCGGCGGGCCUAACACAUGCAAGUCGAGCGGGGGAGCAAUCCCCAGCGGCGGACGGGUGAGUAACACGUAGGUUAUGUGCCCUUUGGUGGGGAAUAACCGUGGGAAACCAUGGCUAAUUCCGCAUAUCGAGCGAAAUCUUGAAAGCCUUCGGGCGCCAAAAGGAGCAACCUGCGGCCCAUUAGCUUGUUGGUAGGGUAACGGCCUACCAAGGCGAUGAUGGGUAGCUGGUCUGAGAGGAUGAUCAGCCACACUGGAACUGAGACACGGUCCAGACUCCUACGGGAGGCAGCAGUGGGAAUAUUGCGCAAUGGGCGAAAGCCUGACGCAGCCACGCCGCGUGAGUGAUGAAGGCCUUUGGGUCGUAAAACUCUGUCGGGAGGGACGAAGGGGCAAACCCUGACGGUACCUCGCAAGAAAGCACCGGCUAAACUCUGUGCCAGCAGCCGCGG
RNAcentral lists this ribosomal RNA (461 nucleotides) under uncultured bacterium. RNAcentral's name for it is "bacterial SSU rRNA". It matches the Rfam family "Bacterial small subunit ribosomal RNA", at positions 29 to 520 of the family's 1533-position model. The record is from RNAcentral.